Molecule: ribosomal RNA, 854 nt
Filed under: Ascandra corallicola
Lineage: Eukaryota; Metazoa; Porifera; Calcarea; Clathrinida; Leucaltidae
Description: eukaryotic LSU rRNA
Rfam family: 5.8S ribosomal RNA (bases 355-508)
Source: RNAcentral
AAAGUNGUAACAAGGUUUCCGUAGGUGAACCUGCGGAAGGAUCAUUAUCGAUGACUCCAAUUCCUUGGAACCAAACACCUGUGCACCUGGUGCUUUGCACGCUAUCCUUUCGGGGUUGGGCCCUGGGCCCAUUAAAUCGGAUUCUAUGGCAGCCGCACGGCGCCUGGCCUCGCGAGAGGUUGGGUUGGAGUCGAGCGCUGUCCCGGGCCCCGUUUGGAAAUGCAGCGUGUGAGCUGUUUUUCACCGCGCAGCCUCUGCGGCUGCGUUUUUCAACCUUUUCUUAACCAAGCAAAUUUGCAGACUGAACUGUGGGCUUUCUUUACGGAAAGCUUGUCUCUGAAUCCAAUCUGGGACAACUUUCAACGGUGGAUCUCUUGGCUCGUGGAUCGAUGAAGAACGCAGCAAAACGCGAUAUGUAGUGUGAAUUGCAGAAUUCAGUGAAUCAUCGAAUCUUUGAACGCAAAUGGCGCUCCUGGGUAUUCCCAGGAGCAUGUCUGUCUCAGUGUCGUCUUCACCUCGAGCGCGCUUCGGCGCGGUGGUCUUGAGGCGUCUGAGUUCUUCUCUUUGGGGAGAGCUCAGUCCCUUGAAAUGCAGUGGCCGGACACCUUUUUGCGCUGCACCGGGUGGCUGCUCGCCCCGGACUGCUCGCACGGCUGAUGGACGGCUUUUAGCCCGCCAACACUUGUCGUGUCGCAGCAGCUGGGAAUCGAGCCCACACCAACGCGGCGUGGGAGUCCGAAACAAGCCAGUUCUGGAAGCGACUCGUUUGUCUUGUCCUCGCGGACGAUUCGAACAUCUUUGACCUGAGAUCAGGCAAGACUACCCGCUGANUUUAAGCAUAUUAAUAAGCGGAG